Molecule: transfer RNA, 51 nt
Filed under: Cyriopagopus hainanus
Lineage: Eukaryota; Metazoa; Arthropoda; Arachnida; Araneae; Theraphosidae
Description: tRNA-Glu
Source: RNAcentral
GAGAUUAAAGUAGGUUACAUCAUUUUUUCGUAAUGAAGAUGGUUAGGUUUU